ACGAAGUCUCUACUCUUUGCAAAAAUGUAUUACUUGUCUUGACAGACCUCAUCCAAUAACACUGCGUGUUGCCAAAGAUGAACAACUAUUACGAGUGGUUUACUUAUCCCUAGAGUAGAUAUUUUUUUUAACUCGGCAUACAUUAACGUAUACUUGUUAUGCGUGGUACAAAUUGUACGAGUUAGCCGGGCAUCCACCGGAUGGCAAUGCCUUCGGGUAAAAAAGAUGAAGUUCCUUUUUGGUGCUACAGGGGUGCCACUCUCACCGAAGUGUGUAUUUAAGGAAGCGUGAUUUUAUAGUAUAAAUUUUAUAGUAUAAUAGAUCGUCCAAUAUAAUAUGAACUGCAGAAACUGAUUUUAGUGAUUCUCAUACUUCCAAUCUUAAGAGUUAAUAGCUGAAAAUAAAUGGAACAUUAAUGUGAAGGAUAUCCGUAGUUUUAAGAAGACAAUCGGGAACUUUCCUGACAAGCAAUCAGUUCUUUCAUAUGCGUCCUGCUAACCUACUUGGAUCAAGCUUCUGGCUCAACACUGAACUUCCCUAUACGACGGUACUCGAGCACUGAAACCGUAUGAUAAUUAUAUCAGCAAUAAUUAAGUGCUAGCCGCGAACGACUAACUAACGACGGUGUGCACGUAACACAAAAGAAAUAGUCAAACGAGAAACCCCAUGAAGUAGGCCUUUAGUGAAGAUAGCAUUACGUUAUUCUCGAGACUUAUUUCAACUAUUCUGCUCAACUGUACGCCGGUCCCGUGCAUCGAAGGUUGCUAUGUGGUCGGAUGCGGAACUAUUCACUGAGGCAAGCCGUGACACUAUAGCCGUGCGAGGUUCUCCUGAAUAAUUCAAUGACAUCGUACAAGAGGAACCAUGACCGAAGGCCUAAAGCAAACGUAACGUUGAAAGUUUUUCCCUCUUCGAAUAUUACGCCUGUCUGCGAUCCCGACUAUAACAUAACCUGCCGACGAUCAUUGAGUCACAGUGAAUCUGGCCGGUUUCUAUGCACCCGAUUCUACUGAACCAGUUUCCCAAAAUCCUAAAAAUAAUUAUAUAAUUGCGUUGCAGAAAACACAGAUUCAUCUUGCUUAGUAUUAAGCGUUUAUUCCUAACUAAUGAAGAGUCCGCUAAAGGAGCCCGCUAAAGCCUGGUGUCUAACGUCACGUACAAACGGUUAUCUCUCGUUGUGACGAAAUGGCCACCUUUGCACAUGUAAAAGAUCUACUUGGUUAUUUACGUCGAAAAGACAGAAUACAACUGCAUCGUAUUGGCGGUUGUUAGAAAUCAAAUAUUGUUUAUUUGAUUUGAGACAUUUUGACAUGGAUAGGAGAAUGGCUAAAACGUGGGUGGAUACCGCCAGAGUUGAUCAGUCUAGCCUAAACCAUUUUGAGCUUGGACGGAAAUUUAAAUCUAAAAAUUUCACCCAUCCUUUUCAUGAAAAUUUCUUCGUUAAUUCGAACUGGAUUCGCCACCGCAAGACUUCGGUAGACGUUCAUGUAAGCUACCUGAAUCAAACGUCCGCAUGGAAGCGGGCCUGGAUAAGUUUGAAAAUACCUGUAGGAAAUAAGUUGUACAUGUUCCGUCAUUUCUGCGAGUCCGCUGAGUCUACACUAUGAUCUCCAAAUACAUAAUAAGGGGCAUUUUGUACCAAAAACGUUUAUCGUCUAAGUAGCGCUGGCGAUGUUGUCUGGCAGAAA
This 1688-nucleotide long non-coding RNA is filed under the name Varroa destructor (honeybee mite). Its description in RNAcentral is "uncharacterized LOC111243082, transcript variant X4". Lineage: Eukaryota; Metazoa; Arthropoda; Arachnida; Mesostigmata; Varroidae. The record is from RNAcentral.